UGUAAGCCAGGUCGGUUUCUAUCUUUAAUAAAAUAAAAUAUUUUAGUACGAAAGGACCAAGUAUUUGAUAUAUUUAUAUUUAAUUAAUUGAAUAUUAUUAAAGUUA
Molecule: ribosomal RNA, 106 nt
Filed under: Carabus splendens
Lineage: Eukaryota; Metazoa; Arthropoda; Insecta; Coleoptera; Carabidae
Description: partial 16S ribosomal RNA
Source: RNAcentral